AUAAAUGCGUUGAUAGAGAAAUAGUAGACAAAAAAGGUGACAAGAGAGAGCUUGCGGGUGGUGAAAGCAAGUCGGACUUUGUAAGUUGAAUUAACCCUCUGGAGCAGACUUUGGUAACAAAGUCCGGGUCUUCCCGUUAUAGAAAAAUAGUGUGUCACCCUAGUGGUAAACAGAGCACUAAUUAAGUUCAUCAUUGCAAGAUGAUGAAGAAACAAGGUGGUACCGUCUUUUUAAAAGGCCCUUGUC
This 246-nucleotide non-coding RNA is filed under the name Candidatus Microgenomates bacterium. Its description in RNAcentral is "Microgenomates Collierbacteria T-box sequence". It matches the Rfam family "T-box leader". From Rfam's summary of the family: Uncharged tRNA acts as the effector for transcription antitermination of genes in the T-box leader family. T-boxes are found upstream of many aminoacyl-tRNA synthetase genes and some amino acid biosynthetic genes usually in Gram-positive bacteria. The record is from RNAcentral. Lineage: Bacteria; Candidatus Microgenomatota.